Molecule: ribosomal RNA, 253 nt
Filed under: uncultured bacterium
Lineage: Bacteria
Description: partial 16S ribosomal RNA
Rfam family: Bacterial small subunit ribosomal RNA
Source: RNAcentral
UACAGAGGUCCCAAGCGUUGUUCGGAUUCACUGGGCGUAAAGGGUGCGUAGGUGGCCGGGUAAGUCUGACGUGAAAUCUCCAAGCUCAACUUGGAAACUGCGUCGGAUACUAUCCGGCUAGAGGAUCGGAGGGGAGACUGGAAUACUUGGUGUAGCAGUGAAAUGCGCAGAUAUCAGGAGGAACACCGGUGGCGAAGGCGGGUCUCUGGGCCGAUACUGACGCUGAGGAGCGAAAGCAUGGGGAGCGAACAGG